This 441-nucleotide non-coding RNA is filed under the name Aminobacterium colombiense DSM 12261. Lineage: Bacteria; Thermotogati; Synergistota; Synergistia; Synergistales; Aminobacteriaceae. The record is from Rfam by way of RNAcentral.
ACAUCAUUUUUAUAAAGCGAAGAUUUCUCGUUGUUUUAUGUGAAUCCGUGCACUUUUGCACAAUUUCAAGACCUGGCACCAUUUAAUGUUUUUUGUAUAAAAGAAAGGCGCCUACUAGACCGUUGUAUGUAAAUGUGAUAAUUUUACUAUCGCUGGUUACUUGCCGGCUACUCGUUUAAUUAGGAGGCAACAACUUGAGUCAGGGAACAGUCAAAUGGUUUAAUGCGACAAAGGGCUAUGGAUUUAUCACCAGCGACGAAGGUAAAGACGUGUUCGUUCACUUCAGCUCUAUUCAGGGUGAUGGCUUUAAAACUCUUGAUGAGGGUCAGAGAGUUACAUUUGAAGUGACAGCUGGCGCUAAAGGUGACCAGGCAGCAAACGUAGUCAAGCUUUAAGACUCAGCUGAGUAUAAAAACGGCCUCUUUCGAGGCCGUUUUUUUG